GUGCUUGCUUCAGCAGCACAUAUACUAAAAUUGGAAUGAUACAAAGAAGAUUAGCAUGGCCCCUGCGCAAAGACGACACGCAAACUCGUGAAGCAUUCCAUGUUUUU
Small nuclear RNA from Loxodonta africana (African savanna elephant), 107 nucleotides. The record is from Ensembl. Lineage: Eukaryota; Metazoa; Chordata; Mammalia; Proboscidea; Elephantidae.